GGACCCGCACAAGCGGUGGAGCAUGUGGUUUAAUUUGACGCAACGCGGAGAACCUUACCAGCCCUUGACAUCCCGGUCGCGAGGAGUGGAGACACACCUCUUCAGUUCGGCUGGACCGGUGACAGGUGGUGCACGGCUGUCGUCAGCUCGUGUCGUGAGAUGUUCGGUUAAGUCCGGCAACGAGCGCAACCCCUAUUGUUAGUUGCCAGCAUUAAGUUGGGGACUCUAACGAUACUGCCAGUGAUAAGCUGGAGGAAGGCGGGGAUGACGUCAAGUCAUCAUGCCCCUUAUGGGCUGGGCUACACACGUGCUACAAUGGUGGUGACAGUGGGCAGCGACUUCGCGAGGAGGAGCAAAUCCCUAAAAACCAUCUCAGUUCGGAUUGUACUCUGCAACUCGAGUGCAUGAAGUUGGAAUCGCUAGUAAUCGUGGAUC
Molecule: ribosomal RNA, 435 nt
Filed under: uncultured bacterium
Lineage: Bacteria
Description: bacterial SSU rRNA
Rfam family: Bacterial small subunit ribosomal RNA
Source: RNAcentral